UUUGACUGCAAAUAGUACGAAACUGUUCGUCAGAAUAAAGAUACCCAACAACAAAAGAGAAAAAAAAUACACAAAAGAAUAGCCACAUCGAACCUAUGUAGUCAUGUUUUAGAGUUUUUAUCGCAUAACCCGUUAUUUUUUUUACAACAGGGUUUAAAAAAGCCAAUAUACUAUAUUAUAUACCCUUUUUAUUAAAGCAAUAUUGUGGGUUUUAUUGAUGAAUAGCAAACAGUACAAAACAAUGGUCCCAACGCCAUUAUUUGGUCACAUACAAAACAAAACAAGAUAAAAUUUUCUGGUUGCCCAACUCGGUGACCCGAGUCCAAUACCCCUCUACACAUACCCUUUGUAGGGUUUCCAAAACCAUAGUCCACUUUCCUACACAAAACCCUCCCAUUUGAAGACUACGUUGCCGCCGCAUAUCAACACCAAGUUCAUCGCCAUUAUCUUUUGGAAUAUCAAUCUUUCUGGCUGAUUUCCUCCAUUUCUUGCUUUAUCAGCUUGCACGGCUGAGCUAUCCGGUGGAUGGUGUAUUUUCGCUGGAACACAAUAUUGGAUCUGGUCUCCUGUUAGCUUACUCAUUCAUCUGGUACGUUGUGAUACUGUACCCGACUACUCUAUGUUCCAUACCCGUCCUCUUCAAUGUGCAGGUGGAGCUGGAAUUAAGUGCAUGGGUAGCUUCAAUCCAUCACUCCAAAUGUUGGAAGUUCGAGCUCCAGGUUCUCAAAGCUUGAUCUGACCUAAGAUCCUCUCAUUUUGCUGGGUCCUUUUUGUUGGUUGAAGUAUAUAGGCUAGAUAGCAUUUCACUCUUUUUUAUGCAUGUGAGGCUUUUGUAAUUAUAAUUUGCAAAGAACACUAUGCUUAGCCUUCCCAGCCUCACAAUCCCUUGCUUGGUGAUACUUUUAAGUAAGGGCAUUGUAUCUAGUCACUAUUAAUAAGCCUUCUUUUC
Capsicum annuum is the source of this 949-nucleotide long non-coding RNA. RefSeq lists it as uncharacterized. The record is from RefSeq and is a predicted model, not a curated record. The transcript is spliced from 2 exons. NCBI's taxonomy places the organism in Eukaryota, Viridiplantae, Streptophyta, Magnoliopsida, Solanales, Solanaceae.